This 427-nucleotide ribosomal RNA is filed under the name Trachepyris sp. Its description in RNAcentral is "partial large subunit ribosomal RNA". The record is from RNAcentral. Lineage: Eukaryota; Metazoa; Arthropoda; Insecta; Hymenoptera; Bethylidae.
AAAACAUUUUUUUUAGAAUAAAAUAAUAAAUAAGUUCUGCCCAAUGAAUAAUUUAAUGGCUGCAGUAAUUUAACUGUACUAAGGUAGCAUAAUCAAUUGUUUUUUAAAUGAAAACUAGAAUGAAUGAGAUAAUGAAAUAUAAACUUUAUUUAAUUUAAAUUUUGAAUUUAAAUUUAAAGUAAAAAAGCUUUAAUAAAUUUAUAAGACGAGAAGACCCUAUAGAAUUUUAUAUAAAAUUUAUUAGUUAGAUAAUAAAAUUUAAUAAAUUAAAUAUUUAUUUGGGAGGAAUAUAAAAUUAAAAACUUUAAUUAAGUUAAUACAUAAAUAAAUGAAAAUUAUUGAUUUUAGAUAUAAUAAGUAAAAAAUUAAAUUACCUUAGGGAUAACAGCGUAAUAUUUUUUUAUAGUUCAAAUUGAAAAAAAUGUUU